Molecule: ribosomal RNA, 253 nt
Filed under: uncultured bacterium
Lineage: Bacteria
Description: partial 16S ribosomal RNA
Rfam family: Bacterial small subunit ribosomal RNA
Source: RNAcentral
UACGAAGGGGGCUAGCGUUUCUCGGAAUUGCUGGGCGUAAAGGGCGCGUAGGCGGACCUGUCAGUCAGGCGUGAAAGCCCAGGGCUCAACCCUGGAACUGCGCUUGAUACUGCGGGUCUAGAGUGCCGGAGAGGAUGGUGGAAUUCCCAGUGUAGAGGUGAAAUUCGUAGAUAUUGGGAAGAACGCCGGUGGCGAAGGCGGCCAUCUGGACGGCAACUGACGCUGAGGCGCGAAAGCGUGGGGAGCAAACAGG